UACGUAGGGUGCAAGCGUUGUCCGGAAUUAUUGGGCGUAAAGAGCUCGUAGGCGGUUCGUCGCGUCGGCUGUGAAAUCCCGAGGCUCAACCUCGGGUCUGCAGUCGAUACGGGCGGACUGGAGUUCGGCAGGGGAGACUGGAAUUCCUGGUGUAGCGGUGAAAUGCGCAGAUAUCAGGAAGAACACCUAUGGCGAAGGCAGCUCUCUGGGACGGUACUGACGCUGAGACGCGAAAGCGUGGGGAGCGAACAGG
This 253-nucleotide ribosomal RNA is filed under the name uncultured bacterium. Its description in RNAcentral is "partial 16S ribosomal RNA". It matches the Rfam family "Bacterial small subunit ribosomal RNA", at positions 524 to 776 of the family's 1533-position model. The record is from RNAcentral.